UACUCCCUCUGUCACGGUUUAGAAGGCACGUUUGAAAAAUCUCUGGGACCAAUGUAAUCAUCGAUUGGUUGUGAGAUGUAGCAGGUGUAAAUGAUAAUGCGCCUAAUCAACUGAGAAAAUACUAGUACUAAUGUGUGAUAAGCAAAUUGGAAGGGUGCAUGCAUGAGUAGUACUAGUACUAAUUAAUAGGAGUAAUUGUUUUCGCGCCUUAAACCUUGUCUAUUUUAGAAACGCACGCAAGUUUAACUGUGCAUUGU
Molecule: long non-coding RNA, 257 nt
Filed under: Hordeum vulgare
Lineage: Eukaryota; Viridiplantae; Streptophyta; Magnoliopsida; Poales; Poaceae
Description: long non-coding RNA (HVUL_LNC002448)
Source: RNAcentral